GCCGUAGGCUUCUUCACUGUGAAGCAAACACAAGUUUUUGACAGAAGAGAAGAACACAUACACUCAAGAUCUCGAUGCAAUUCUCACACGAAUAAGGUGGCUAAUUAAGUAGUGGGAGAGUCACCGGAAGAUUGUCGGAGAUUUGUCCAGCAGAAAAAAAACACAAACAAACACAGAACCGAGAAACAACAAGAGAUCCGCCGGAAAAAAACCAAACGGUAAGGAAAAGGCGUACUUAUCGCCGGAGGAGAAGCUGUAGAGCUUGCCGGAGGCGGAGACGACGAGAAGAGCGACGGAUGCGUCACAGAGAACAGAAAGCUGACGAGCUUUCUCGAUGAGACCGUUGCGACGUUUGGAGAAGGUGACUUGUCGGCUACUUUUGUUCUCAAUUCGCUUGAUUUCUAGUUUUUUUCUUCCCAUGGCUUCUCUCCGAGAGGGCUUUGUGCCCUAAUUUGAUCCUCAGGUUUGGGUUCAAGUCGCCGGAGAUAC
RNAcentral lists this non-coding RNA (489 nucleotides) under Arabidopsis thaliana (thale cress). Lineage: Eukaryota; Viridiplantae; Streptophyta; Magnoliopsida; Brassicales; Brassicaceae. The record is from RNAcentral.